Molecule: long non-coding RNA, 723 nt
Filed under: Homo sapiens (human)
Lineage: Eukaryota; Metazoa; Chordata; Mammalia; Primates; Hominidae
Description: non-protein coding lnc-FZD1-2:11
Source: RNAcentral
AAAGAUGCAUGAUGGAGGCCAGGAAUGCUGGCGUCCUCUGGAAGGCAAGAAAACGGGAAAGGGUCUUAGGAGAGUUGGACACAUUCAAAACACAAUAUGUGAUUAAGAAGAUUAAAGAUUAAUACUUAUUGAUGGAUUACUAUGUGCCAAACUUCCAACCGAAUCCUGACAACAAUUCCUUAAGAUGUGGAAACUGCAGUUCACUGAGGUUGACAUUUCCGGGUUCAUACAACAAGGAUGGGGAUGAAUGACUGUAACUGCAGACCUUUACAAGGACAAUGAGAGCUCCUAAUGGAGGCGCUAAGGCAGCUGGCCCAGAGGCAGUAAAGUUGGCAACCUCAUUGGCUCCCCUUGAGAGUCCGGCCCACCACAACCAUUCUUUUAGAUAUGCAUGGUCACUUAGAUCUGCUUUCAUGGUUCCUAUCCUGUUUGGCACCAUGACAAGAAAACAAACAAGUUAUGGACUUAGAAGAUAUAGACUUAUGGUGGAGACAGAGACAUGGAAUAAUAACCCAAAGUAGCUCAUCUUCCUAGAGGCCUAUUCUUCCUCUUCCUCCAGCCAUUGCCUGUUUGACAUGAGAUGUGUCCUUCGAUAAGUCAGUAGUGGAUUACCUCAAGGCAGGGGACAACUAAGGCUCCAAUAGAAAGGAUGAAUUGCAAGAAUGGGACAGAGAUCAUAUUCUCAAAAGGACUUUUUAAUAAAAACUCACUGAAAGCAAUUAA